GGUUUCGUGGUGUAGUGGUUAUCACGUCUGCUUAACACGCAGAAGGCCGCGAGUUCGAGCCUCGCCGAAACCU
This 73-nucleotide transfer RNA is filed under the name Gigantopelta aegis. Its description in RNAcentral is "tRNA-Val". It matches the Rfam family "tRNA". From Rfam's summary of the family: Transfer RNA (tRNA) molecules are approximately 80 nucleotides in length. The record is from RNAcentral. Lineage: Eukaryota; Metazoa; Mollusca; Gastropoda; Neomphalida; Peltospiridae.